This 296-nucleotide ribosomal RNA is filed under the name uncultured bacterium. Its description in RNAcentral is "partial 16S ribosomal RNA". It matches the Rfam family "Bacterial small subunit ribosomal RNA", at positions 28 to 329 of the family's 1533-position model. The record is from RNAcentral.
GAUAAACGCUGGCGGCGUGCCUAAAACAUACAAGUCGAACGGGCCAUGCCUUCGGGUGUGGCCAGUGGCGGACGGCUGAGUAACACGUGGGUGACCUGCCCUCGAGCGGGGGAUAACUGCCCGAAAGGGUGGCUAAUACCGCAGAUGUCGAUGCUUCGAUGUGUCGACUGAACCGAUUCAGGGUUCGAGGGAGGGGCCCGCGGCCGAUUAGCUUGCUGGUGGGGUAAUGGCCUACCAGGGCUGCGAUCGGUAGCUGGUCUGAGAGGAUGAUCAGCCAGACUGGGACUGCGAGACGG